RNAcentral lists this ribosomal RNA (492 nucleotides) under uncultured bacterium. Its description in RNAcentral is "partial 16S ribosomal RNA". It matches the Rfam family "Bacterial small subunit ribosomal RNA", at positions 29 to 507 of the family's 1533-position model. The record is from RNAcentral.
AGUGAACGCUGGCGGUAGGCCUAACACAUGCAAGUCGAACGGCAGCACAGUAAGAGCUUGCUCUUACGGGUGGCGAGUGGCGGACGGGUGAGGAAUACAUCGGAAUCUACUUUUUCGUGGGGGAUAACGUAGGGAAACUUACGCUAAUACCGCAUACGACCUACGGGUGAAAGCAGGGGAUCUUCGGACCUUGCGCGAUUGAAUGAGCCGAUGUCGGAUUAGAUAGUUGGCGGGGUAAAGGCCCACCAAGGCGACGAUCCGUAGCUGGUCUGAGAGGAUGAUCAGCCACACGGGAACUGAGACACGGUCCAGACUCCUACGGGAGGCAGCAGUGGGGAAUAUUGGACAAUGGGCGCAAGCCUGAUCCAGCCAUACCGCGUGGGUGAAGAAGGCCUUCGGGUUGUAAAGCCCUUUUGUUGGGAAAGAAAAGCAGCAGGUUAAUACCCCGCUGUUCUGACGGUACCCAAAGAAUAAGCACCGGCUAACUUCGUG